ACUCCUACGGGAGGCAGCAGUGGGGAAUAUUGCGCAAUGGGCGAAAGCCUGACGCAGCAAUGCCGCGUGAGUGAGGAAGGCCUUCGGGUUGUAAAACUCUGUCAGAUAGGAAGAAUUGCCAAGGGUCCAAUAGGCCCUUGGAGUGACGGUACUAUCAAAGGAAGCACCGGCUAACUUCGUGCCAGCAGCCGCGGUAAUACGAAGGGUGCAAGCGUUGUUCGGAUUUAUUGGGCGUAAAGCGCGCGCAGGCGGGCAGCUAAGUCAGAUGUGAAAUCUCGGGGCUCAACCCCGAAAUUGCGUCUGAAACUGGUUGCCUAGAGUUUCAGAGGGGAGAGCGGAAUUUCGCAUGUAGGGGUAAAAUCCGUAGAGAUGCGAAGGAACACCAGAGCCGAAGGGGGCUCUCUGGCUGACAACUGACGCUGAGGCGCGGAAAGCGUGGGGAGCAAACAGGAUUAGAUACCCUGGUAGCGAGUA
This 474-nucleotide ribosomal RNA is filed under the name uncultured bacterium. RNAcentral's name for it is "bacterial SSU rRNA". It matches the Rfam family "Bacterial small subunit ribosomal RNA", at positions 335 to 799 of the family's 1533-position model. The record is from RNAcentral.